RNAcentral lists this ribosomal RNA (465 nucleotides) under uncultured bacterium. RNAcentral's name for it is "partial 16S ribosomal RNA". It matches the Rfam family "Bacterial small subunit ribosomal RNA", at positions 28 to 507 of the family's 1533-position model. The record is from RNAcentral.
GACGAACGCUGGCGGCGUGCUUAACACAUGCAAGUCGAACGGAAAGGCCCUGCUUGCAGGGUACUCGAGUGGCGAACGGGUGAGUAACACGUGGGUGAUCUGCCCUUCACUUCGGGAUAAGCCUGGUAAACUGGGUCUAAUACCGGAUAGGAGCCAUUUUUAGUGUGAUGGUUGGAAAGUUUUUUCGGUGUAGGAUGAGCUCGCGGCCUAUCAGCUUGUUGGUGGGGUAAUGGCCUACCAAGGCGGCGACGGGUAGCCGGCCUGAGAGGGUGGACGGCCACAUUGGGACUGAGAUACGGCCCAGACUCCUACGGGAGGCAGCAGUGGGGAAUAUUGCACAAUGGGCGCAAGCCUGAUGCAGCGACGCCGCGUGGGGGAUGACGGCCUUCGGGUUGUAAACUCCUUUCGCUAGGGACGAAGCUUUUUGUGACGGUACCUAGAGAAGAAGCACCGGCUAACUACGUG